Molecule: ribosomal RNA, 253 nt
Filed under: uncultured prokaryote
Description: partial 16S ribosomal RNA
Rfam family: Bacterial small subunit ribosomal RNA
Source: RNAcentral
GACGAAGGGGGCAAGCGUUGUUCGGAAUUACUGGGCGUAAAGCGCGUGUAGGUGGUUAUCCAAGUCAGGCGUGAAAGCCUUGAGCUCAACUCAAGAAAUGCGCUUGAUACUGGGUGGCUAGAGGACCGGAGAGGAUAGUGGAAUUCCCAGUGUAGUGGUGAAAUACGUAGAGAUUGGGAAGAACACCAGUGGCGAAGGCGGCUAUCUGGACGGUUUCUGACACUAAGACGCGAAAGCGUGGGGAGCAAACAGG